Mugil cephalus (flathead mullet) is the source of this 1148-nucleotide long non-coding RNA. RefSeq lists it as uncharacterized. NCBI's taxonomy places the organism in Eukaryota, Metazoa, Chordata, Actinopteri, Mugiliformes, Mugilidae. The transcript is spliced from 3 exons. The record is from RefSeq and is a predicted model, not a curated record.
ACAAAAAAAAAUGGCCAUACCUUUGAAAGCCUUUUGAUUUUUAUGCCACUAUAGAAGGUUUCAUGCCAUGUCCUCUUGAAAUGUGCAUCUUUAUCUGUCAGAGCCACUAGAGGGAGCAACAAGCUACAUUUUUAAAUGUUUGUGUUCAAAUGAAAUGGACACAGUAUAUUCAUAUGCAGUCCCAAUGUUGCAUUUAUUUCCUCUGUGUUGCAUCUCUCUCCCCCUAGCUCUUCUCUUUAAGCCUUCUUCACUCCCGCUGGUGUAGGAGGGAAACGUGUUGGAGCUGUUUUUUUUUCUCUCUUUUUUUUUUUUUAAAUUGGCCUAGUGGCUGCUAUUUUUGGGCUUCUGUGCUCCCCCCACCCCCUCUCUCUUGCUCUCUCUUAAUGUUUUUUUUUAUUUCAGAACUCUUUUUAUUCCUGCUGCUCUCCAUUCGUGUUAUAAUCCACUGGCCGAUAUCAGUGGGAGAAGGGGAGGAAAUGAGCAUAACGCUGAGAGAGGGAGGUGAGGUGCUGUCUUCUUGGAUCCCCUGCAUCAGUAAUAGGGGUCGCUGGCAGUCCCUCCACACAGAGAGGCGGUUGACGCGUGAGCAGAUGCUGGCUGAAUUGAUUUGCCUUCCUCGGUUCUUCCUCGAGGGAAUGGAUUACUGAUGUUUUCUGUUGUUUUUCCAGUUGAGAGACCUGUUGCACCUUAGAGGACUGGAAACAACGAGAGGCUUUGUUCUUGAAUUGAUCCAACAUGAAGUCAGUGGCUGCUGUUUGGGUCUUCAUCUGUCUUCUGCUGAUUCUUCACUUCGCAAGACCUGAGAAAUCCGGUGAUGAUUCCAUUCACACCUCUGAAAUCAUGCUGUUUACUGCGAGCCCUCAGUCACUCAUCAGCCUCUUGUUACUGGUCCUAACUGCCAUCCUGUCGGGCAGCGUCUACCUAUGGAUCCUCAGAUACGUUUGCAUCGGCUGCUGCCAGCCCGUUGCAGUCGGCACUGAAUCAGACGUUCUGGAUGGCGUGGUGUGAAGCCAUUAUCCUCUGACUGGAAUAGUUGGGGUAUUGCUUUCCAAAAGGAAAUCGGUUAUUUCCUUUCGUUUCCAUGUAGAAAUUACACUCUGCACACCUAUGAAAUGGCAAACAAAAAUGGGGCUUUAAUGUAGGAAAUG